UAAGGAAUAUUGGUCAAUGGACGCAAGUCUGAAUCAGCCAUGCCGCGUGAAGGAUGAAGGUCCUCUGGAUUGUAAACUUCUUUUAUCUGGGACGAAAACGGGAUUUUUAUCUCAAUUGACGGUACCAGAGGAAUAAGCACCGGCUAACUCCGUGCCAGCAGCCGCGGUAAUACGGAGGGUGCGAGCGUUAUCCGGAUUUACUGGGUUUAAAGGGUGCGUAGGUGGGCUUAUAAGUCAGUGGUGAAAUCUCCGAGCUUAACUGGGAAACUGCUGUUGAUACUAUUUGUCUUGAAUAUUGCGGAGGUAAGCGGAAUAUGUCAUGUAGCGGUGAAAUGCUUAGAUAUGACAUAGAACACCAAUUGCGAAGGCAGCUUACUACACAAUCAUUGACACUGAGGCACGAAAGCGUGGGUAGCGAACA
This 421-nucleotide ribosomal RNA is filed under the name uncultured bacterium. Its description in RNAcentral is "bacterial SSU rRNA". It matches the Rfam family "Bacterial small subunit ribosomal RNA", at positions 355 to 774 of the family's 1533-position model. The record is from RNAcentral.